This is a non-coding RNA of Picea glauca (white spruce), 120 nucleotides long. The record is from Rfam. NCBI's taxonomy places the organism in Eukaryota, Viridiplantae, Streptophyta, Pinopsida, Pinales, Pinaceae.
UGUAAUUUAAUUUCUAUAACAUCAAUGUAUCAUAUCCCAUUAGAACUUUGUAGUCAAGUGCAUUUGGGAAAUAUUAGUACUAGGAUGGGAUACCUCCCCGAAAGUACUAGUGUUUUACAU